CAUAUCCCAUGUAAGUUACUGGUUACAGAUGUCUCCUAUCCAUCAUUCUCUUCCUCAAAAUCAAAUCACGCCUUCUCUUCCUCUUUCUCUGCUUUACAUCUCAUAUCGUCAUCUCAUCUAAAGAUUGCUAGAGAAUCUAAGAAAAGUGUUGAGUGCAUGGGUUCACUAGAAUUUGACGAUUCAGAAUGUGUCUCCUAGCGUUUUGGGAUGCAGCUGUCUUGCAAUCUGGGACUCGCGAUCCAAAACGCGGAACCUAAGAGAUGUGAACGAAUCUGGUAACUAUGGAAUGACCUUAGGGUUGCUGAACGAUUUCUCUAUGGUCAAACGACCUUAUCAAUGCCACUGAAAAGCUCACCUAAAAGCAAUUAAUACCAAGGAUAUGAUUUAUCCACAUCAAGCCAAGAGAACCCCAUUAAGAAAGCUAAAGAGAUAUGACUUAUCUCCUUCAUUAAACGCACGGAAACCCAAAUCCACCCUAUGUGCUAGUUAUUCACUUUUACAGUUGAGUUCCCAGUGGCUAUUAUCAAUCCUAACCUAGUAUACGAACCUAACAAUCACUACCGUGCUCAGAAGAUUAUCCCCUCCCAAUAGAAACCUACCUCAUGUUGGAGAACCUAGGGAUUAAGAGGGACAUGUGGCUUGUCCUUAUUGGGCAAUGAGUCUUAUAUAUACCCUGAUAGUCCGAGGUUAGGGAGAUCUGAAAAGGGUCACCAAGUAUAAAAAAUAGGUCGCUAGGAGUCGUUGGGCACAUUUAAUAUACCUACAAUAUUAUUUAUCCUUAUCUGGAUACACAUGGAUAUCAUCCGCACUUCCCUGGUUUCAUACAACAUCACUGACAAAGAAUAAUU
Molecule: long non-coding RNA, 848 nt
Organism: Hevea brasiliensis (rubber tree)
Lineage: Eukaryota; Viridiplantae; Streptophyta; Magnoliopsida; Malpighiales; Euphorbiaceae
Exons: 3
Source: RefSeq, a predicted model, not a curated record